GUCCCCUUCAGGGUGACAUGAAAAAAUUGGAACAAUACAAAGAAGGUUAGCAUGGCCCUUACACAAGGAUGACAUGCUUUUCAGAGUGGAAUGCACUUUGGUG
RNAcentral lists this small nuclear RNA (103 nucleotides) under Fomitiporia mediterranea MF3/22. Lineage: Eukaryota; Fungi; Basidiomycota; Agaricomycetes; Hymenochaetales; Hymenochaetaceae. The record is from RNAcentral.